Molecule: unclassified non-coding RNA, 295 nt
Filed under: uncultured Ochroconis
Lineage: Eukaryota; Fungi; Ascomycota
Description: sequence contains ITS2
Source: RNAcentral
AACGCACAUUGCGCCUCUCGGUAUUCCGGGAGGCACGCCUGUUCGAGCGCCAUUACACCGUCCAAGCUGCGGCUUGAUGUUGGGCGAGGCUGCGGUCCGAGAGGACGGGCGGCGCGCCUGGAAGGUAUGGGCGGCGGAGGCCAGACCGCGAGCGUAGCAAAGACGAGAGUCACCCGCUCGGACGGAUCUGGCGGACGCGUGUCGAGAAGUCGAGGAUGCGAGGGCGACCGCGCAAAGACGACGAAACACACACAAGUUUGGCCUCGGAUCAGGCGGGGAUACCCGCUGAACUUAA